Molecule: ribosomal RNA, 1477 nt
Filed under: uncultured bacterium
Lineage: Bacteria
Description: bacterial SSU rRNA
Rfam family: Bacterial small subunit ribosomal RNA
Source: RNAcentral
AUUAAACGCUAACGGUAAGCUUAACACAUGCAAGUCGAACGGCAACGAAAAGAGGCUUGCUUCUUUGUCGGCGAGUGGCGAACGGGUGAGUAAUAUCUGGGGAUCUACUUAAUGGAGGGGGACAACUACUAGAAAUGGUAGCUAAUACCGCAUAAUGUCGCGAGACCAAAGUAGGGGAUUAUUAUUUUUUUAUAAUAACCUUAUACCAUCAAAUGAACCCAGAGGAGAUUAGCUAGUAGGUGAGAUAAUAGCUCACCUAGGCAACGAUCUCUAGCUGGUCUGAGAGGAUGAUCAGCCACACUGGAACUGAGACACGGUCCAGACUCCUACGGGAGGCAGCAGUGGGGAAUCUUGCACAAUGGGCGGAAGCCUGAUGCAGCUAUACCGUGUGUAUGAAGAAGGCCUUAGGGUUGUAAAGUACUUUCAGCACGAAAGAAAAAUAUUCAAUUGAAUAAAUUGGAUACAUGACGUUACGUGAAAAAGAAGCACCGGCUAACUCUGUGCCAGCAGCCGCGGUAAUACGGAGGGUGCGAGCGUUAAUCGGAAUUACUGGGCGUAAAGAGCACGUAGGCGGCUUAUUAAGUCAGAUGUGAAAUCCCUGAGCUUAACUUAGGAAUGGCAUUUGAAACUAAUAAACUAGAGUCUCAUAGAGGGGGGUAGAAUUCCAGGUGUAGCGGUGAAAUGCGUAGAGAUCUGGAGGAAUACCAGUGGCGAAGGCGACCCCCUGGAUGAAUACUGACGCUCAGGUGCGAAAGCAUGGGGAGCAAACAGGAUUAGAUACCCUGGUAGUCCAUGCUGUAAACGAUGUCGACUUGAAAAUUGUAGGCAUGACCCAUAGUUUUCGAAGCUAACGCAUUAAGUCGACCGCCUGGGGAGUACGACCGCAAGGUUAAAACUCAAAUGAAUUGACGGGGGCCCGCACAAGCGGUGGAGCAUGUGGUUUAAUUCGAUGCAACGCGAAGAACCUUACCUGGUCUUGACAUCCACGGAAUUUUAUAGAGAUAUAGAAGUGCCUUCGGGAACCGUGAGACAGGUGCUGCAUGGCUGUCGUCAGCUCGUGUUGUGAAAUGUUGGGUUAAGUCCCGCAACGAGCGCAACCCUUAUCCUUUGUUGCCAGCGGUUUGGCCGGGAACUCAAAGGAAACUGCCGGUGAUAAACCGGAGGAAGGUAAGGACGACGUCAAGUCAUCAUGGCCCUUACGACCAGGGCUACACACGUGCUACAAUGGCAUAUACAAAAAGCAGCAAUCUUGUAAAAGUUAGCGAAUCUUAUAAAAUAUGUCUUAGUCCGGAUUGGAGUCUGCAACUCGACUCCAUGAAGUCGGAAUCGCUAGUAAUCGUGGAUCAGAACGCCACGGUGAAUACGUUCCCGGGCCUUGUACACACCGCCCGUCACACCAUGGAAGUGGAUUGCAAAAGAAGCAAGUUACUUAACUUAACAGAGGGUGCUUACCACUUUGUGAUUCAUGACUGGGGUG